AGAGUUUGAUCAUGGCUCAGGAUGAACGCUAGCGGCAGGCUUAAUACAUGCAAGUCGAACGGCAGCACAGUGUAGCAAUACAUGGGUGGCGAGCGGCGCACGGGUGCGUAACACGUAUGCAACUUACCCAUAACCGGGGCAUAGCUCAGAGAAAUCUGAGAUAAUUCCCCAUAUCAUCCCGAGGGGGCAUCCUCUUGGGAUCAAAGUUUUUUCGGUUAUGGAUGGGCAUGCGCCCGAUUAGCUAGUUGGCGAGGUAACGGCUCACCAAGGCAACGAUCGGUAGGGGGUCUGAGAGGAUGAUCCCCCACACGGGUACUGAGACACGGACCCGACUCCUACGGGAGGCAGCAGUAAGGAAUAUUGGACAAUGGUCGAAAGGCUGAUCCAGCCAUGCCGCGUGAAGGAUGAAGGCCCUACGGGUUGUAAACUUCUUUUCUACAAGAAAAAACUCCUGGUUUCGUACCGGGACUGAUGUACUGUAGAAUAGC
RNAcentral lists this ribosomal RNA (488 nucleotides) under uncultured Flexithrix sp. RNAcentral describes it as "bacterial SSU rRNA". It matches the Rfam family "Bacterial small subunit ribosomal RNA", at positions 8 to 491 of the family's 1533-position model. Lineage: Bacteria; Pseudomonadati; Bacteroidota; Cytophagia; Cytophagales; Flammeovirgaceae. The record is from RNAcentral.